GAGGGUAUAGCUCAGUGGUGAGAGUACAUGCUUAACAUGCACGAGGCUCUGGGCUCAAUCCCCAGCACCUCCA
RNAcentral lists this transfer RNA (73 nucleotides) under Camelus bactrianus (Bactrian camel). It matches the Rfam family "tRNA". Rfam says of the family: Transfer RNA (tRNA) molecules are approximately 80 nucleotides in length. Their secondary structure includes four short double-helical elements and three loops (D, anti-codon, and T loops). Further hydrogen bonds mediate the characteristic L-shaped molecular structure. tRNAs have two regions of fundamental functional importance: the anti-codon, which is responsible for specific mRNA codon recognition, and the 3' end, to which the tRNAs corresponding amino acid is attached (by aminoacyl-tRNA synthetases). tRNAs cope with the degeneracy of the genetic code in two manners: having more than one tRNA (with a specific anti-codon) for a particular amino acid; and 'wobble' base-pairing, i.e. permitting non-standard base-pairing at the 3rd anti-codon position. Lineage: Eukaryota; Metazoa; Chordata; Mammalia; Artiodactyla; Camelidae. RNAcentral also lists the same sequence under 2 other names. The record is from Rfam by way of RNAcentral.